RNAcentral lists this transfer RNA (72 nucleotides) under Camelus bactrianus (Bactrian camel). It matches the Rfam family "tRNA". From Rfam's summary of the family: Transfer RNA (tRNA) molecules are approximately 80 nucleotides in length. Their secondary structure includes four short double-helical elements and three loops (D, anti-codon, and T loops). Further hydrogen bonds mediate the characteristic L-shaped molecular structure. tRNAs have two regions of fundamental functional importance: the anti-codon, which is responsible for specific mRNA codon recognition, and the 3' end, to which the tRNAs corresponding amino acid is attached (by aminoacyl-tRNA synthetases). tRNAs cope with the degeneracy of the genetic code in two manners: having more than one tRNA (with a specific anti-codon) for a particular amino acid; and 'wobble' base-pairing, i.e. permitting non-standard base-pairing at the 3rd anti-codon position. Lineage: Eukaryota; Metazoa; Chordata; Mammalia; Artiodactyla; Camelidae. RNAcentral also lists the same sequence under 2 other names. The record is from Rfam by way of RNAcentral.
AAGGGUAUAGCUCAGUGAUAGAGUGUAUGCCUAGCAUGCACAAGGUCCUGGGUUCAAUCCCCUGGACCUCCA